This 313-nucleotide long non-coding RNA is filed under the name Phoenix dactylifera (date palm). RNAcentral describes it as "long non-coding RNA (PDAC_LNC007827)". Lineage: Eukaryota; Viridiplantae; Streptophyta; Magnoliopsida; Arecales; Arecaceae. The record is from RNAcentral.
UUUGAUGCAGUUUGUGAGGAAGAAGGAACUUCCUCCGGAAAGGAUGGGGUGGGGGAGCAGUGGGAGGCCAAAACAUGAUAACCACUCCAUGUUAUGUUUAUAUUUUGUUCCUGGCGUGUAGGUUUCCAUGGCUUGAAGAAGGGGAAAUCUAAAAGUUGGGACACAAAAAGUUGGGAGGUCAUGAUUCAUCAUCAAAAAAUACAUCUAAUCUAAUGUCCAUAGCGUGCCACUCAGACAACAGAGGAACCGAGAAAAUAUUGCGCGAAUCCUGCGCUUGGAGGGAAGGAAAAAGAAAGAAGGAAAGAGUAAAUAU